AAUGGACCCAUGCCCUCAACCAUCUCUAGGUGGUGGCCAUCUCUCCUUGAAUGACUGGAGCCACUGACUGGGUGUCCUGUACUAAGAAUGUGAGGCCCAAGUCUGAAUGGGACCAGUGCCCGAGGCAGGUGAACCCAGAACCUUCCAAGUGGUUUUAGGGGUGAGCCCAUUAAUAAGGGAGGAAUAGGCUGUGAACAAGUCCAUUUUGGACCUAAGACGUUGAUUUCUGAGCAUGGCUCUGGUGUUAUCCCAUGGAGCAGGAGAUGAAUGCUGGCAGGGAGCAAUUCCAGUGCAGCUCUCAGGAAAUGUAGUAGAGAAGACUUCUAGGAUAUUAACGCUUAAAAGUAGAAAAAGUCCAGGGCUCCAAAGAGAUGCUCUCCCAUUUUCCCUCUCUUUGCCACUUCCCAAAGCACUUGGGAGAUCAUUUCCAGAAUGCACAUUCCAAAUUCCUGGAAGUGGAAAUUAACCCAGUUUCCUGUGAGGAGAGUUGAGAGGAAGGAGGAGGGAGAGAGCAGUGGUCCCUGAUUUCAGCAGGUCCCAGCUGUGUCCCAGCAUAUUAAAUAGAGUGACUGUACAGAGAAUCUGUUUUUGGGUUUUAAUAAUCUCAUUCCAGAUAGCCUUAUAGUCCCUGUAAAUAUGGAGCAUCCAAAAUUAAUAUAUUGUGUUAUAGAAAAUAUUUUGUACCGCAUUUGUUUCCUAAGUAAUGUCACCCUCCUUGGUGUCAUGUACUUGUAUGAAUACGACCCCCAAGAAUGCUCUGUCAAGUUUUUAAAGAAUAUAUAUAUAUAUAUUAUAUUUUCUAAUAUUUCUGCUGUGAUCAUUCCUCAGAUUUAGGCAGUAAUGGCAGACGGAAAUUGAGUUCUGCUAGAAAAAAGAAAUUCUAUCGUCUCCGCACCCUUGCUUUUUAUUGUUGCCUUGUGGGCAAACAGGCUAGUUCUGUGAACUCUGAACAAAUUUAAGCCAGAUCAUGGGCACUUUAGACAUCCUAGAAAGGACCCCCAGUCAGGUUUGUAGAAAAUACAUCAGUAUACAAAGGCUAUAUUUUUAAUGUCAGAUGGAAAGAGUGUAUCUUGGG
This 1075-nucleotide long non-coding RNA is filed under the name Sarcophilus harrisii (Tasmanian devil). RNAcentral describes it as "lncRNA (ENSSHAG00000021859.1)". Lineage: Eukaryota; Metazoa; Chordata; Mammalia; Dasyuromorphia; Dasyuridae. The record is from RNAcentral.